UACAGAGGGUGCAAGCGUUGUUCGGAAUUAUUGGGCGUAAAGGGAGUGUAGGCGGUUUGCUAAGUCUUCUGUGAAAUCUACGGGCUCAGCCUGUAACGUGCAGAGGAAACUGACAGACUUGAGUGUCGGAGAGGAUAGUGGAAUUCCCGGUGUAGAGGUGAAAUUCGUAGAGAUCGGGAGGAACACCAGUGGCGAAGGCGACUUCCUGGCCUGUUCUUGACGCUGAGGCGCGAAAGCUAGGGGAGCAAACGGG
RNAcentral lists this ribosomal RNA (253 nucleotides) under uncultured bacterium. RNAcentral describes it as "partial 16S ribosomal RNA". It matches the Rfam family "Bacterial small subunit ribosomal RNA", at positions 524 to 776 of the family's 1533-position model. The record is from RNAcentral.